ACAAUGUUUUCCCCUCCUUUCUGUGUGUUGCC
Molecule: non-coding RNA, 32 nt
Filed under: Geobacter sulfurreducens KN400
Lineage: Bacteria; Pseudomonadati; Thermodesulfobacteriota; Desulfuromonadia; Geobacterales; Geobacteraceae
Source: RNAcentral